This 23-nucleotide small nuclear RNA is filed under the name Arabidopsis thaliana (thale cress). RNAcentral describes it as "snRNA_09717". The record is from RNAcentral. Lineage: Eukaryota; Viridiplantae; Streptophyta; Magnoliopsida; Brassicales; Brassicaceae.
ACAAAGAGAUAUAAAAUACAAAG